CCCACUUCCACUUCCCCAUACCCUUUGAUCAUGAUUUUCGGAGCGGAACUUCCAAACACUUGUUUUACGAAUGAUUCUUGCUGCGAAAUCAACUUGUUCCUUUCCGUGCCAUAUUCGGGAUUGCAGGUGUAAUCGCUAGUUCUUCUGUUGCUACAUUUAUUGCUUCAGAGACAUGGGAUUCAUCUGUAACAAUUGAUUUUCCAUUGAACUCCAAGCGAAGCUCUGUUUUUGGGGCAGAGUGUUGCUGAAGCCUCAUGAUCAAUGGUACUCUGGUGCAAAUACCCUGUCCUCUAGGGAGGCUGAUUCCGGCAAGGGAUUCCAGUACGCUGGACUUGCCGGAAGAUUGGUCACCAACAACAACAAUGGUGGGGAGCUGGAUCCCUUCUUUCAUUAUGUUGAGAUGACGUAGUUUGUCAACAACAUCAAUCAGCGGCCGAAUUCGGUCGUUGAAGCACGAAACAAUAGGUGCAACGAAAUUGGAAGGUUCCUUUGAAUUUUCUACGGGAACAGGAGCAGUAAUAGGAGAAUCCAUAAUGGUUUCUCGUUCGUCGGAAGAUCCAGCGAUUUUCUUGUUCUUCAUCUUAGAGGAAGACUUACUUGGAUUCAUUUUGGAAUAACAAUUCGAAAACAGGAACUAAAAAUGGGAGGGGAGAUUGAGAAUGGAGGUGAUGAGUGUGAAGAGAAGGGAAGUUAAAUGGUUUGUAUUUAUAGGAAAGCAAGGUGGAUGAAAAUGGAGGAAUAUGAAUGGAGAAAAGGAAAAGAUCGUUUGGGAACCAGCGGCUGAGUAUGGGGAAGUGGAAGAGUUUUGGAAGAAGAAGAAGGUCUUUUUAACUUUGGAGUUAUAAAAAGCUUGAUGAGAAGUUAGAUAUCUUUUUUUCCUGAAAUAGUCAUUUGAGAAUGCAAUUGAUUGCAUUUGCAUGGGUAAUUAAGUGCUUUGGAAGGUGGUUUUGUCUUCAA
This is a long non-coding RNA of Cucumis melo (muskmelon), 957 nucleotides long. RefSeq lists it as uncharacterized. The transcript has 2 exons. The record is from RefSeq and is a predicted model, not a curated record. NCBI's taxonomy places the organism in Eukaryota, Viridiplantae, Streptophyta, Magnoliopsida, Cucurbitales, Cucurbitaceae.